This 253-nucleotide ribosomal RNA is filed under the name uncultured bacterium. Its description in RNAcentral is "partial 16S ribosomal RNA". It matches the Rfam family "Bacterial small subunit ribosomal RNA", at positions 524 to 776 of the family's 1533-position model. The record is from RNAcentral.
UACAGAGGUGGCAAGCGUUGUUCGGAAUUACUGGGCGUAAAGGGCGCGUAGGCGGCCUUCUAAGUCAGACGUGAAAUCCCCCGGCUUAACCUGGGAACUGCGUCUGAUACUGGGAGGCUCGAGUAUGGGAGAGGGAUGUAGAAUUCCAGGUGUAGCGGUGAAAUGCGUAGAUAUCUGGAGGAAUACCGGUGGCGAAAGCGGCGCUCUGGGCCUAAACUGACGCUGAGGGGCGAAAGCGUGGGGAGCGAACGGG